This is a long non-coding RNA of Rosa rugosa (rugosa rose), 209 nucleotides long. RefSeq lists it as uncharacterized. The transcript is spliced from 3 exons. The record is from RefSeq and is a predicted model, not a curated record. NCBI's taxonomy places the organism in Eukaryota, Viridiplantae, Streptophyta, Magnoliopsida, Rosales, Rosaceae.
AUGUUAAAGUCAGUAAUACAGUUGACCAAAGGGCUCGUAAUAUUAUUCCUGGUGCAGAGGGUUUUCUAAGACAGAAGCUAUCUGGCCAAGGGCUUGCAUUUAUAAUUGCAGGUGGAUCUGUUGUACAGAAAAAUCUUGAGGUGGGCAAGGUACUAUCUGUUGAUGUUUCUUGUAUAGUAGUUGUGACUAGCUACAAUAGUCAACGUCCA